This 746-nucleotide ribosomal RNA is filed under the name Escherichia coli. Its description in RNAcentral is "partial 23S ribosomal RNA". It matches the Rfam family "Bacterial large subunit ribosomal RNA", at positions 2052 to 2797 of the family's 2925-position model. Lineage: Bacteria; Pseudomonadati; Pseudomonadota; Gammaproteobacteria; Enterobacterales; Enterobacteriaceae. The record is from RNAcentral.
UGUGAAGAUGCAGUGUACCCGCGGCAAGACGGAAAGACCCCGUGAACCUUUACUAUAGCUUGACACUGAACAUUGAGCCUUGAUGUGUAGGAUAGGUGGGAGGCUUUGAAGUGUGGACGCCAGUCUGCAUGGAGCCGACCUUGAAAUACCACCCUUUAAUGUUUGAUGUUCUAACGUUGGCCCGUAAUCCGGGUUGCGGACAGUGUCUGGUGGGUAGUUUGACUGGGGCGGUCUCCUCCUAAAGAGUAACGGAGGAGCACGAAGGUUGGCUAAUCCUGGUCGGACAUCAGGAGGUUAGUGCAAUGGCAUAAGCCAGCUUGACUGCGAGCGUGACGGCGCGAGCAGGUGCGAAAGCAGGUCAUAGUGAUCCGGUGGUUCUGAAUGGAAGGGCCAUCGCUCAACGGAUAAAAGGUACUCCGGGGAUAACAGGCUGAUACCGCCCAAGAGUUCAUAUCGACGGCGGUGUUUGGCACCUCGAUGUCGGCUCAUCACAUCCUGGGGCUGAAGUAGGUCCCAAGGGUAUGGCUGUUCGCCAUUUAAAGUGGUACGCGAGCUGGGUUUAGAACGUCGUGAGACAGUUCGGUCCCUAUCUGCCGUGGGCGCUGGAGAACUGAGGGGGGCUGCUCCUAGUACGAGAGGACCGGAGUGGACGCAUCACUGGUGUUCGGGUUGUCAUGCCAAUGGCACUGCCCGGUAGCUAAAUGCGGAAGAGAUAAGUGCUGAAAGCAUCUAAGCACGAAACUUGC